RNAcentral lists this ribosomal RNA (448 nucleotides) under uncultured bacterium. Its description in RNAcentral is "bacterial SSU rRNA". It matches the Rfam family "Bacterial small subunit ribosomal RNA", at positions 330 to 793 of the family's 1533-position model. The record is from RNAcentral.
ACCAGACUCCUACGGGAGGCAGCAGUGGGGAAUAUUGCACAAUGGGGGAAACCCUGAUGCAGCGACGCCGCGUGAGUGAAGAAGUAUUUCGGUAUGUAAAGCUCUAUCAGCAGGGAAGAAAAUGACGGUACCUGACUAAGAAGCCCCGGCUAACUACGUGCCAGCAGCCGCGGUAAUACGUAGGGGGCAAGCGUUAUCCGGAUUUACUGGGUGUAAAGGGAGCGUGGACGGCAGGGCAAGCCAGAAGUGAAAACGCAGAGCUUAACUUUGCGACUGCUUUUGGAACUGCCCAGCUAGAGUACAGGAGAGGUAAGUGGAAUUCCUAGUGUAGCGGUGAAAUGCGUAGAUAUUAGGAGGAACACCAGUGGCGAAGGCGGCCUGCUGGACGAUGACUGACGUUGAGGCUCGAAAGCGUGGGGAGCAAACAGGAUUAGAUAUCCCGGUAAAG